Molecule: transfer RNA, 72 nt
Filed under: Nannocystis sp.
Lineage: Bacteria; Pseudomonadati; Myxococcota; Nannocystales; Nannocystaceae
Description: tRNA-Gly
Rfam family: tRNA
About the family: Transfer RNA (tRNA) molecules are approximately 80 nucleotides in length. Their secondary structure includes four short double-helical elements and three loops (D, anti-codon, and T loops).
Source: RNAcentral
GCGCGCAAGGUGCUGGUGGCCGCACGCCUCCCUGCCACGGAGGAAGCGAGGGUUCAACUCCCUCUGCGCGCU